This 228-nucleotide long non-coding RNA is filed under the name Setaria viridis. RNAcentral's name for it is "long non-coding RNA (SVIR_LNC010971)". The record is from RNAcentral. Lineage: Eukaryota; Viridiplantae; Streptophyta; Magnoliopsida; Poales; Poaceae.
AACUCUUGCCCACGAGGCCAUUUGACUUCAUCGCAACAUGUCAGAGGUCUUGGAUUGGCAGGAGAUGACCAACGGGUACUAGACUCAGCAGCUAGAUCCGCCAGCAGGCGAUUGCAGCCAUUAAUACUCUCCUUGGGUGAAUGUAUCAAACAUUGAAUUGUCCUUUGAAUGCUUUUGUACGAACAUUUAAUGCUCUUUUGCCGUUGCUGUGCGAAUACGAACUUGAAC